UACGUGGGGGGCGAGCGUUGUUCGGAAUUAUUGGGCGUAAAGGGUGCGUAGGCGGUUUGGUAAGUCUGAUGUGAAAUCUAUGGGCUCAACUCAUAGUCUGCAUCGGAAACUGCCGGGCUUGAGUGUGGGAGAGGUGAGUGGAAUUCCUGGUGUAGCGGUGAAAUGCGUAGAUAUGCGGAGGAACACCGAUGGCGAAGGCAAUCCCCUGGGCCUGUACUGACGCUCAUGCACGAAAGCGUGGGGAGCAAACAGG
Molecule: ribosomal RNA, 253 nt
Filed under: uncultured bacterium
Lineage: Bacteria
Description: partial 16S ribosomal RNA
Rfam family: Bacterial small subunit ribosomal RNA
Source: RNAcentral